Molecule: ribosomal RNA, 253 nt
Filed under: uncultured bacterium
Lineage: Bacteria
Description: partial 16S ribosomal RNA
Rfam family: Bacterial small subunit ribosomal RNA
Source: RNAcentral
UACGUAGGGGGCAAGCGUUGUCCGGAUUUAUUGGGCGUAAAGAGCGUGUAGGCGGCCAGACAGGUCAGCUGUGAAAACUCGAGGCUCAACCUCGAGACGUCGGUUGAAACCGUCUGGCUAGAGUCCGGAAGAGGAAAGUGGAAUUCCCGGUGUAGCGGUGAAAUGCGCAGAUAUCGGGAAGAACACCCGUGGCGAAGGCGGCUCUCUGGGACGGUACUGACGCUGAGACGCGAAAGCGUGGGGAGCGAACAGG